RNAcentral lists this small nuclear RNA (19 nucleotides) under Arabidopsis thaliana (thale cress). Its description in RNAcentral is "snRNA_06068". Lineage: Eukaryota; Viridiplantae; Streptophyta; Magnoliopsida; Brassicales; Brassicaceae. The record is from RNAcentral.
GCGCUUUAUUCAUUCGACA